RNAcentral lists this ribosomal RNA (497 nucleotides) under uncultured bacterium. RNAcentral's name for it is "partial 16S ribosomal RNA". It matches the Rfam family "Bacterial small subunit ribosomal RNA", at positions 28 to 507 of the family's 1533-position model. The record is from RNAcentral.
GAUGAACGCUGGCGGCGUGCCUAAUACAUGCAAGUCGAGCGAACAGACGAGGAGCUUGCUCCUCUGACGUUAGCGGCGGACGGGUGAGUAACACGUGGAUAACCUACCUAUAAGACUGGUAUAACUUCGGGAAACCGGAGCUAAUACCGGAUAAUAUAUUGAACCGCAUGGUUCAAUAGUGAAAGACGGUUUUGCUGUCACUUAUAGAUGGAUCUGCGCCGCAUUAGCUAGUUGGUAAGGUAACGGCUUACCAAGGCAACGAUGCGUAGCCGACCUGAGAGGUGGAUCGGCCACACUGGAACGGGGACACGGUCCAGGCGCCUGAGGGAGGCAGCAGAAGGGAAUCUGCCGCAAUGGGCGAAAGCCUGACGGAACGGCGCGACGUGAGUGAUAAAAGUCUUCGGAUCGUAAAGCUCUGUUAUGGGGUAAAAACAAAUGUGUAAGUAACUAUACCCGUCUUGACGGUACCUAAUAAAAAAGCAACGGCUAACUACGUG